UACGAAGGGGGGCUAGCGUUGCUCGGAAUCACUGGGCGUAAAGGGUGCGUAGGCGGGUUUUUUAAGCAGGGGUGAAAUCCUGGAGCUCAACUCCAGAACUGCCUUUGAUACUGGCGACCUUGAGUCCGGGAGAGGUGAGUGGAACUGCGAGUGUAGAGGUGAAAUUCGUAGAUAUUCGCAAGAACACCAGUGGCGAAGGCGGCUCACUGGCCCGGUACUGACGCUGAGGCUCGAAAGUGUGGGGAUCAAACAGG
This 254-nucleotide ribosomal RNA is filed under the name uncultured bacterium. RNAcentral's name for it is "partial 16S ribosomal RNA". It matches the Rfam family "Bacterial small subunit ribosomal RNA", at positions 524 to 776 of the family's 1533-position model. The record is from RNAcentral.